AGAUUGUGGAGUACAAAGAUGUCCAAGCCUGCUUCUCGUAGCUCUCAGCUGCUGCUGUCGGAUCAGAAGUGUGCUAAAUGUCUGUUGGAGACGUAUGUCAAGCGGAGCCUCAGCCUGAAUGAAGGAUGCAGGAAACAUCAGCUAAAUAAACACAAAUGGCUUAAACCAGACAGGCAGUCCAGACGGGCGUCCAGUGACACCUCCACCCAGCGUUUGAGAGUAGAGAGGCUCCUGAAGACCAGCGAGUGCCCUGAAUGCACAACACCAGAACUUGUCACUAGGAGAAAGAGCACCAAAGCACCAAACAGAACCAAAUCAUUCUUCAGAGGCUUUCUCCACCUCUUCUCUAAGAAGAAGACCGAGCCCAAAGUGAAAGAUGAGCGAGUUACAGAAACAGACUCUGGACAACAUAUGAUAGAACGGGGGCUUCGCUCUUCUCAGAAAGGCUCAUCUGGCCUCAGUGUGAGGAAAAAACACUCUCUGAGAAGGAUCUUCUUUAGCAAUCAAAAUGAUGAGAAAAGAGAGUCCCUGCAAAAGGACUCCUCUCGUGUUCGUGGAGGCGUGGAGGGGCUUUCAGACGUGAGCGUGGACUCUGAUAAUACAUACUUUGAGAAGGUGUCAGAAGAACUGGAGUUGAUUGUGAAGGAGAUUCAGUUCAGUCCAAAAGAAGAUGCUCCGCUUCUCUCUUCUGCUUCUGCAAGAGACUGCAGCUCUUCAGGUGAUGACACUACAGAGAGGAUUACCAGCCUGCUGAAGCAACAUGGGGAUAUUAUUGAUCAGAAAAUAAGCAGGAACAAGAGUGUCCAAGACUUCCUCCAGAAACUGUCUUACAGCUCCUUCCAGCAGCUGGCUGAUCGCUACAUAGCGCAGAUCCCCAGUCCUCUUCCCCAGACCACAGACGCCUCCCCUGAGCUGGUCAGACUCGCCUUCACCCUGGACUUUACCGCCAAAGUGGCUGGAUUGUGCAGCCAGACAGUCGGUCGGAUCAUGGGGUUUGGUAACCAGUACCUUCAGGAUUCCUUCACACAAAUGUGUGCAGCCCACAGACAGGUGCCAGAAGAUUUGGAAGAACAGAGUACAAGUGAUACAGACUGACUGUGAAGUCAAAAACGACAAAAAAAAAAAAAGAUAAAAAGUGCAAUAGAGUUAACUCAGGGGGGGGGGAAACUGAUGUAUUUGUAGCUGCUUUUGUGAAUAAGCCAAAUUUAGUAGUUUGUUUAUACUAUAAGUUUACAGUGACUGACUGUGAAAAUUACAACAGUUGAACCUGAUACUAAAACUGUGAAUAAUAUUUGUUUUUUUUACACCAAAUUAGCAUAUUCUACUGAUUUCUGAAUGAUAAUGUGACAUUGAAGACUGAGUAAUGACUGCUUAUUUUAAAUUAUAAUUGAGCUAUUUUAAAAUGUAUUAAAAUAGAAAAAAGUUCUGUUAAAUUGUAAUAACAUUUCAAAAUAUUGCUGUUUUUACUGUAUUGUUAAUUAAAUAAAUGCAGCCUUGGUAAAUAUAAGAGACUUCUUAUAAAAACAUUUUUUAAAAAUCAUACCGGCCCCAAACUUCUGAUCCGUAGUGUACAUUGGAGAUAUUUUGGAGAUAAAUGUGUGACAUUGAGGCUAAACCAUGGAAAACUGAACGUUUAUUGGGGCUGUGUGGAACCUCAUUUCAGAAAUGAUAUUUACGCUAAACAACAUUACACAUGGGUAUAAAAUGUAAGAUAUGGAUCACAACAAUCAUGUGUUAUUUGGCUAGAUCAGGUUGAGCAUCUCCUUGCAUAUAUGGCAUUUCUAAAAGGUAAUUUGUCAUGUUUUUUUAACUGAGGAGAUGGCAUCAGUAUGCUGCAGAUGCAUCAUACGACUGCAUGAUUGAGGCCCAUGUUUCAAUAUACUCUGUUGUGCCAUUGUGCUACAAUCAUUUAGUAAAACCACAUUUGGUUUCUUUUGCAGAGUUUAUGUCUUUAUAAAUGGUUGCCAUGAAAUAAUGGCAGCAUUUGUUAGUGGAUGUGAAUGGCAGCAGUGGCGUCUGGAAUGGUAUUAGCCACCCUUGACAUUUCAGUGCAUCCUGUAUAAAGUUGCACAUUCUGCUUUGAGCACCACUGCUAAUCGAUCUCAACUGAUUCCUGGAGCUUGAAGUCAGAGCUUGAUGAAAGUCCUGUGAUCCAACCACCUAAUUAACCUAACAGCUGUGGCCAUACAACACAGGUAUCCUAUAUAUUUUGAACUGAUUAAAAAUCUGCUUUUAAAUUAGACCAAAAUAAAUAAAUGCUAAGGCAUACAUCUAUAUAUAUAUAUAUAUAUAUAUAUAUAUACACACACACACAUAUUGGUCAGAAAUGUUCUUUGGCACAAAUCAAUAAGAUUGUAAUUUUAAUGUAAAGUUUUCAUUCCUUUUGGUGGCCAUUCAGCUGUAUAUUUCCACAUAUAAAAGCCUGUUUUAAAUGUGUGAGAAAAAUAUUAAGUGUACUAUUGAGCAAACAACACCAACAAGUGGCUAUUUUAUUUUCAUAAUACUAAAGCAAAAUGUUAAAACGUUGACAGCAUAACUGAGAUUGAUAUUUAUAAAUGUAUUUUUUCCACAAAACUAUAUGAAGAUCUGUAUGUUUUUCUUACUGUUACUACUGUUAACCUUAAACUUUGAGUAACCUUAAACAUCUCACAUUGCUUACAUGUUUUUAAUUUCUUUUCACAUCGGCCACGUGCCGCUGUAAUGUGUGCUGCACCUCUGUCUUGCGUCUUCUCCACUUGCUCUCUGUCUCUAGUGAAAACAGGAGCGUGUAGAGCUUUGGGAGGGUCUGUGCCAUGGAGGGACUCGGUGGGAGAACAGCAAAGACGCGCCCAUUCAGAUUCGAGGAGGUCAUCGUGUGUCUCUCAGACAGCUCUCUGCGUCUGUGCUGCUCAGGGUGAACUUGCACAAGUAUAAAACUGAUCAGACUCAGCAUCCUUUGCAAAAGACAGAAGACGGUUAUGAUUUUUUUUCCACAAUGGUAGCAUUAACAAUUAACAGCAGAAAACCUUUUUUAUUUUUAUUGUGUGCUUACAUAUCUCCAAAGGCUUUUCUUGUAGAGGACAGUACAAUUUUGAGUGUAAAAAUCAUGAAGAUCUUAAUCCCAUGCCAGAGCCAGUAUGCCACAGUCAUAGCAUUAGUGAUCCGUUUCUGAUAUCUGCAAAACCACAAAUCACAAGUGCUCAUGAGCAGCAUAAGAAUGUUGCCUUUUAAAAUAAAACCUUGUAGGUCAGGGGUGUCCAAAGUCCAGCACGUGGGCCAAUUGACCCUUCACAAAGAACCGCCCCCCUUUGUUACUGCUAUGUAUUAGGUUUAUAGAGAAUUUUAUUUAAAAUAUUUAUGUAGCCAUGUAUUAAGGGAAUAUAAUGAACAGACCAAAUUACAGACAUUUUUGUCAUGAGCUAGCUGUUUUGUGCAUUUGUAUUUAUACUAAAUAAAUGUGUUUAUAGACUAAAUACCAUGAAGCCAUUCUAUACCACAGAAACCAAAUGUUUUUUUUUUUUAUUAUUAUUAUUAUUUAUUAUUAUUAUUACCAUGCUACAAAGGUGCCAAGUGUGGUUUUACCUUUGGUCAUCAUGAUCUAAAUGUAUGAUACUAUGGAAGGCCAGUGUUUAAUUUUUGUAGGGAUUCUAGUACUCAGUAAGAAUAUUAAAUUUUAACCUUUAAAAACAAUGUUGUUAACAUUUUUACAGAUGUUGCGGCCACCCCUGUUUUAGGCUCUGUGUAUUAUUAAUUUUUCGCUUUUCAUUUUCACUUUUAUGCAUUUAAAGUAAACUAGUGAUGUACCAAAAUGGAUUUUAUACUGAAACCAAUGUUUAUUAAAUAAUCGUUUAAUUAAUUAGUUUAAAGUUGUAUAAACGUAUAAAUUGCACAUAAGGCUGCUUUUAUAUUUAGGAUAUAAUUAUUUUACUACUCCAAUUAAUGGUAACUAGGGAGGUGCUGGUGUAAAAUUUUCCUGUUGCGAUUAAUUGCUAAUGCUUUUAUCACAGUAUACGGUAUUAUCACAGUAUUGAAAUUUAGUUGCAUAAAAAAGUAGUCAUAAUACAGUGUAAUAGGUUUAAUAACUUUUUUUUUCCUAUAACAGAAAUAACUGAACAUUUAAAUACAAUAAAGAAAUACACAAAAAUUUAUAAAGUAAAAAAUUUUACACGGAUGAAAGUGCAAAAAAAUUAUAAAGACCAAUAGCCUAUCGCUUUACAAUAAGACCUCAUUAGUUAACCUUAGUUAAUGCAUUAACAUCCACAAUGAGCAAUAGCUACAUUUGCUACAGAAGAUAUUAAUCUUUGUUAAAAAAUACAAGUCUUAGUUCAUGUUAACGCAGUUGCAACUUUUGAUUUUAACAACGUGUUAUUAAAUAUUGGAAUACCUAAGAUUCCCUUUCAAGGGAACUUUGAACUGCGUCCUCUAGGGGCCGCUAUGGGGAGCUAGAGGAUGCAGUGUC
Long non-coding RNA from Cyprinus carpio carpio, 4438 nucleotides. The record is from Ensembl. Lineage: Eukaryota; Metazoa; Chordata; Actinopteri; Cypriniformes; Cyprinidae.